This 528-nucleotide ribosomal RNA is filed under the name uncultured bacterium. Its description in RNAcentral is "bacterial SSU rRNA". It matches the Rfam family "Bacterial small subunit ribosomal RNA", at positions 19 to 518 of the family's 1533-position model. The record is from RNAcentral.
CUGGCUCAGGACGAACGCUGGCGGCGUGCCUAAUACAUGCAAGUCGAACGGUCUUUCUAUGGAAGCUUGCUUCCACUGAGAAGAUAGUGGCGAACGGGUGAGUAACACGUGGGUAACCUGCCCAUAAGAGGGGGGAUAACAUCCGGAAACGGGUGCUAAUACCGCAUAGUUUUCUUGAUCGCAUGAUCGGGAAAGGAAAGACGGCCUUUGUGCUGUCGCUUAUGGAUGGACCCGCGGCGUAUUAGUUAGUUGGUGAGGUAACGGCUCACCAAGACGAUGAUACGUAGCCGACCUGAGAGGGUGAUCGGCCACAUUGGGACUGAGACACGGCCCAAACUCCUACGGGAGGCAGCAGUAGGGAAUCUUCCGCAAUGGACGAAAGUCUGACGGAGCAACGCCGCGUGAGUGAAGAAAAGGUUUUCGGAUCGUAAAACUCUGUUGUCAGAGAAGAACAAGUUGGAGAGUAACUGCUCCAGCCUUGACGGUAUCUGACCAGAAAGCCACGGCUAACUACGUGCCAGCCGCUGC